RNAcentral lists this ribosomal RNA (413 nucleotides) under uncultured bacterium. Its description in RNAcentral is "bacterial SSU rRNA". It matches the Rfam family "Bacterial small subunit ribosomal RNA", at positions 505 to 916 of the family's 1533-position model. The record is from RNAcentral.
GUGUCAGCCGCCGCGGUAAUACGUAGGGGGCGAGCGUUGUCCGAAUUCACUGGGCGUAAAGCGCGCGUAGGCGGGUUUUUAAGUUGUGGGUGAAAUUCCGAGGCUCAACCUCGGAACUGCCUGCAAAACUGGGAGCCUUGAGGUAUGGAGAGGGAAGUGGAAUUCCUGGUGUAGCGGUGAAAUGCGUAGAUAUCAGGAGGAACACCCGUGGCGAAGGCGGCUUCCUGGCCAUAUCCUGACGCUGAGGUGCGAAAGCCAGGGUAGCGAACGGGAUUAGAUACCCCGGUAGUCCUGGCCAUAAACGAUGGAUACUAGGUGUUAGAGGUAUCGACCCCUCUAGUGCCGCAGCUAACGCAUUAAGUAUCCCGCCUGGGGAGUACGACCGCAAGGUUGAAACUCAAAUAAAUUGACGG